CCAGAACCUGCCUGGGAAGGCUCAUAGAAACAAAACUUGAAGAGUUCUCUGGCUGCUAUUUUGCUCAAAAGAAAACCAAAGUUUCAGAAUUGAAAGGGAGGUCAGCAGAGAGCUGCCAAUAACACAGAACAACCAAGAAGACAAAGAAAUUCUCUGCUGUGGCUAAAGAAGCAAUUUUAAUUCCUUUCCUUUCUGUAGAACAGGAUAAGUACAAAAAGCUUUGCUUGUGAACACUUUUAAACCAAAAUUUUUAAAGUAUCACAGAAAAGUAAAG
Molecule: long non-coding RNA, 274 nt
Filed under: Zonotrichia albicollis (white-throated sparrow)
Lineage: Eukaryota; Metazoa; Chordata; Aves; Passeriformes; Passerellidae
Description: lncRNA (ENSZALG00000003148.1)
Source: RNAcentral